UAGGGAAUAUUGGACAAUGGGGGCAACCCUGAUCCAGCCAUGCCGCGCGAGUGAAGAAGGCCCUCGGGUUGUAAAGCUCUUUUGUCCGGAAAGAAAAGCAUUCGGUGAAUACCCGGAUGUUCUGACGGUACCGGAAGAAUAAGCACCGGCUAACUUCGUGCCAGCAGCCGCGGUAAUACGAAGGGUGCAAGCGUUACUCGGAAUUACUGGGCGUAAAGCGUGCGUAGGUGGUUGUUUAAGUCUGAUGUGAAAGCCCUGGGCUCAACCUGGGAAUGGCAUUGGAAACUGGGCGGCUAGAGUACGGUAGAGGGUAGUGGAAUUCCCGGUGUAGCAGUGAAAUGCGUAGAGAUCGGGAGGAACAUCUGUGGCGAAGGCGACUGCCUGGACCAGCACUGACACUGAGGCACGAAAGCGUGGGGAGCAAACA
RNAcentral lists this ribosomal RNA (427 nucleotides) under uncultured bacterium. Its description in RNAcentral is "bacterial SSU rRNA". It matches the Rfam family "Bacterial small subunit ribosomal RNA", at positions 355 to 774 of the family's 1533-position model. The record is from RNAcentral.